GACGAACGCUGGCGGCGUGCUUAACACAUGCAAGUCGAGCGGUAAGGCCCUUUCGGGGGUACGACGAGCGGCGAACGGGUGAGUAACACGUGGGUGACCUGCCCUCAGCUCUGGGAUAAGCCUGGGGAAACCGGGUCUAAUACCGGAUAUGACUCCAUGACGCAUGUUGUGGGGUGGAAAGCCUUGUGCGGCUGAGGAUGGGCCCGCGGCCUAUCAGCUUGUUGGUGGGGUGAUGGCCUACCAAGGCGACGACGGGUAGCCGGCCUGAGAGGGCGACCGGCCACACUGGGGACUGAGACACGGCCCAGACUCCUACGGGAGGCAGCAGGUGGGGAAUCUUGCGCAAUGGGCGAAAGCCUGACGCAGCGACGCCGCGUGAGGGAUGACGGCCUGGUCGUAA
This 400-nucleotide ribosomal RNA is filed under the name uncultured bacterium. Its description in RNAcentral is "bacterial SSU rRNA". It matches the Rfam family "Bacterial small subunit ribosomal RNA", at positions 28 to 428 of the family's 1533-position model. The record is from RNAcentral.